RNAcentral lists this long non-coding RNA (279 nucleotides) under Daucus carota (carrot). Its description in RNAcentral is "long non-coding RNA (DCAR_LNC005509)". Lineage: Eukaryota; Viridiplantae; Streptophyta; Magnoliopsida; Apiales; Apiaceae. The record is from RNAcentral.
UAGAUGUCCGAAGGUACCACGAUGUUCUUGUAUAAAAAACUGUUGCUAUUCCUGCUGUUUAUGCUUCUAGCAAACCUAGAACCAAGAAUUCUAAUAUCCUACCUGCAUAAAAAUAGAAAGAUCAUGUACAUUUUUCAUUUUGAUUUCUGUUAAUUAGUUUGGAGGUGAUGUCCAAUCUACCUUUCUAAACAUGUUGCUGAUUCAUUCAGAAAUGUGUCCUUGUGUGGCUGAACUGAACCAAAUAUUGUACUGUAAACUAUACAAAGGGACUGAUUGAGA